AUCUCGCCAGGGCCAGAAGGCAGCAGCAGCAAG
This 33-nucleotide non-coding RNA is filed under the name Polarella glacialis. The record is from RNAcentral. Lineage: Eukaryota; Dinophyceae; Suessiales; Suessiaceae.